GACAGAGGGUGCAAACGUUGUUCGGAAUUACUGGGCGUAAAGCGCGUGUAGGCGGCUUCGCAAGUCGGAUGUGAAAUCCCACGGCUCAACCGUGGAAGUGCAUUCGAAACUGCAAGGCUAGAGUCCUGGAGAGGAAGGUGGAAUGCUUGGUGUAGAGGUGAAAUUCGUAGAUAUCAAGCGGAACACCGGUGGCGAAGGCGGCCUUCUGGACAGUGACUGACGCUGAGGAGCGAAAGCAUGGGGAGCGAACAGG
Molecule: ribosomal RNA, 253 nt
Filed under: uncultured bacterium
Lineage: Bacteria
Description: partial 16S ribosomal RNA
Rfam family: Bacterial small subunit ribosomal RNA
Source: RNAcentral